RNAcentral lists this ribosomal RNA (447 nucleotides) under uncultured bacterium. Its description in RNAcentral is "bacterial SSU rRNA". It matches the Rfam family "Bacterial small subunit ribosomal RNA", at positions 355 to 825 of the family's 1533-position model. The record is from RNAcentral.
UCGGGAAUUUUGGGCAAUGGGCGAAAGCCUGACCCAGCAACGCCGCGUGAAGGAUGAAGUCUCUCGGGAUGUAAACUUCGUAAGAAUAGGAAGAAUAAAUGACGGUACUAUUUGUAAGGUCCGGCUAACUACGUGCCAGCAGCCGCGGUAAUACGUAGGGACCAAGCGUUGUUCGGAUUUACUGGGCGUAAAGCGCACGUAGGCGGGUUUGUAAGUAGGGGGUGAAAUCCCAGGGCUCAACCCUGGAACUGCCUUCUAAACUGCAAGCCUGGAGGUCAGGAGAGGCGAGUGGAAUACCGAGUGUAGAGGUGAAAUUCGUAGAUAUUCGGUGGAACACCAGUGGCGAAGGCGACUCGCUGGACUGAUACUGACGCUGAGGUGCGAAAGCGUGGGGAGCAAACAGGAUUAGAUACCCGGGUAGUCCCUGAGCGGGCUGGCAAGGCGCAU